RNAcentral lists this transfer RNA (75 nucleotides) under Edwardsiella tarda. RNAcentral describes it as "tRNA-Gly". It matches the Rfam family "tRNA". Rfam says of the family: Transfer RNA (tRNA) molecules are approximately 80 nucleotides in length. The record is from RNAcentral. Lineage: Bacteria; Pseudomonadati; Pseudomonadota; Gammaproteobacteria; Enterobacterales; Hafniaceae. RNAcentral also lists the same sequence under 3 other names.
GCGGGCAUCGUAUAAUGGCUAUUACCUCAGCCUUCCAAGCUGAUGAUGCGGGUUCGAUUCACGCUGCCCGCUCCA